RNAcentral lists this long non-coding RNA (1514 nucleotides) under Anolis carolinensis (green anole). RNAcentral's name for it is "lncRNA (ENSACAG00000045266.1)". Lineage: Eukaryota; Metazoa; Chordata; Lepidosauria; Squamata; Anolidae. The record is from RNAcentral.
GUGUCAAACUGAAAAUGGAUCUACACUGCCAUAUAAUCUAGAUCAGAGUUUCUCAAACCGUGCUCCUCCAGAUAUUUUGGACUUCAGUGCCCACAAUUCCUAAUACUGGCUGGGACUUCUGGGAGUUGAAGUCCAAAACACCCGGGGGAGCACAGUUUGAGAAACCCUGAUCUAGAUUAUCAAAGCAGAUAUUCAAAUUAUCCACUUUGAACUAGAUUAUAUGAGUCUACACUGCCAUAUAAUCCUGGAUUUUAUAUGGCAGUGUAGAUGGGGCCUGAAUUAAUUCUGCAGUGUUCAUGCACCAUCCGUUUGUGUAAGUGGAACCAUCUAAAGCAAAGGUGUUACCAUCUCCACCACCCAUGUAGACAGUUUUGGAACUUGGAGGAGUUUGGAUCUUGGAAUUCCUAAUGAUCUACCUCAGAGGUUCUCAGUCUGGGGUCCCCAGAUGUUUUUGGCCUACAACUCCCAAAAAUCCUAACAGCUGGUAAACUGGCUGGGAUUUCUGGAGUUGUAGGCCAAAAACAUCUGGGCACCCCAGGUUGAGAACCACUGAUGUAGAUGCAAACAAAACAGUUUACCAGCUGUUGGGAUUUCUGGGAGUUGGAAGUCCCAAUCCUUUUUCUUGAUACAGGGCAGUGGUUCUCAACCUGUGGGUUUACCAGCUGUUGGGCUUACUGGGAGUUGAAAGUCAAAACAUUGGGAGACCUACAGGUUGAAAACCACUUAUAUAGGCACUCAUAGGAAACAUACAUACAAUUGCAGCCCUAAUCAUUUUAAAUAAUCUACAAUGCAAGGCUAAUAAAGCCAUUCAAAUGUGAAAAUAAAGGUUCUCAUUGUGAAUUACAAACCAGUGACUCUGGUUUACUUGUGUGUACUGGUGGUGCAGCGGGUUAUACCACUGAGCUACUGAACUAGCUCUGAAAGGUCGGUGGUUUGAAUUCGGGGAGCGGGGUGAGUUUCCGCUGUUAGCCCCAACUUCUGCCAACCUAGCAGUUCGAAAACAUGCAAAUGUGAGUAGAUCAAUAGGUACUGCUCCGGCGGGAAGGUAACGGCACUCCACAUGACCUUGGAGGUGUCUACGGACAACACCGGCUCUUCGGCUUAGAAAUAGAGAUGAGCACCAACCCUCAGAGUUGGACACAACUAAACUUAAUGUCAGGGGAAAACCUUUACCUUUACCUUACCAUUGACAGAGGGAGCCAGCACGGUGUAAUAGUGGUUUGAGCACUAGACUACAUUUCUUGAGAUCAGGGUUUGAAUCCCCAAUUGACCAUGGAAGUCCACCGGGUACUACGCUCUCUCAGCCUCAAAGGAAAGCAAAGAUAACCCCCCUCUGAUCAAAUCUUGCCCAGCAAACCCCAUGAUAGCUUCACUUUAGGCGUGACAUAAGUCAGAAACAGCUUGAAGGCAUACAACACCACCAACAAUUGGCAGAGAAGUGCAAUCAAUAUUAUGCUUUUAAACUUAAAGGAUGAAAUGGUCUUUAAUGACAGAAAUAGGAAGAAACGGGAAGA